GCAAUCUCUCUCCCCCACUGCAAAGCCCUGUAGCAAUGAUCCUUUGUUCCAUGCUUUAACAAGUAUCAUUGAAUAAUGUUUUCUUUAACUUAAGUUCAGAGUUAUCAAAUGAGUUAUGUUCCGAGUUGUCAGAUGGUCUUGAACCAGAGAAAAAGAGAAGAGCUUUUUCUCCCUGAGAAACAUCGAUUUGGAAUCACAACUAGAAUUCCACCUCUGGUACAUAACAACGUGAGUCACAAUGAAAAGUCAUAGUUGGAGAUUCCUCAUCCGGACUGUAGAAAAGGUCAUGUCCCUAACUCCAGAAUGCCAAUGAUAAAGGCACACGUACAGGCAUGUUAGAAAGAUGGAGAAGUCAGAGGAAGAUGUGCACAAAGUUAAAUCGCUCUGCCCUUUCUACUAUCAGAUCAUCACCAAACACUCGUGGGAUCACACUGAGAAGGAUCAUCCAAGUCAAGAGCUGCAGAAGAAAUGGUGCACAUAUUCAAGAGUCUCACCUUUAGCCUUUCCUCUACAGCAGAAUCACUAUGCUACAUUAAUUUCCUUCUCAUCUGAUGACUUCUUGAGAGCUUUUUAGUUUCUGCAUCUCCUAUUUCUAGCCAAUGCAAUAAACCAGCUGGCAGAUUAUCCCCUUCACAUCCAAUGACCAAAUCAUCACAUCUCUCCAAGAGGUUCAGAGGUGGGUGUUUUUAUACAGAACCUGUCACCAUGGCAGCUUGACUCUCUUCAGUUUCUGAAUUAGGAACAGUGACCUACUUAUAUUUCUACUACACCCAUAAUGGAAACAGGUUAGUAAUAUCUUCCAGGACUUGACAUUACGGAGCUUCCAGGUGGCAAUGCAGAUAAAGGCAAAGAAUACACAGAGUCCAGGGGGCUCACUGGGAAGCGAAGUCCAUGGUCUGAACACACACCCCCGAUCACCUUUGCUCUAUGCCACGACGAAGUCAUCAGGCUUCCCCACCUCCAGUCCCCAAAAUACACUCAAACUACUCAGAUGAUGGAGGAGCACAACCCAUUGCCUCCUUCACUUACUAGAAGGCAGAAAAUGCAGAAGAAAAACCAUGUUGCCUUUUACAGAUAUGACUUAAUCUGCAGUUGGGAAAGAGAUUAGGUAUAACUUUGGCUUUGUCUACUCAUCCCACUUAUACAACAAACCAUGCCAGUUUUAGACAUUUGUUCAGUGCAACUGGCUUUCGGAAAUGCCAGAAAAUUGAUUCUUCCCUACCCCCGCCAAAGCAUAUUGACUUAUCCUUUGGCAAUUUAACUCCUAAAUCAUUAUCCUCGACUAUGACUAAAAUAUCACAUAAGGUGAUUCAGGAACCAAAGCUAUAACCUCCUAUAUUUGCCUUCCAUCCCCAGGGCCCCCUGGAAGGUUCUAAGUCUGAGUUUGUGUGCCUCACUCACUUGCUUGCCUUUUGUUACGGCGACCCAUUCAACUGCAUUUAUAUACACAUAGGAUGAAUAUUCUGAACGUGCAGUAAUUCAUGCUUGGGGAAAAUUAUUCAAUUAUGGGUCAGUCAUUUCACAAAUAUAGAGGCUAAGCCCUGUUACACCGUAAUCAGGUGUACAUAUUAUCCAAGGAUCUCAUAAACUUCCAAGAGGCUGGAGAUCUGUUUAUUUAAUAGUUCACAAAGCAGUUAUAAUCUCUUCCCUCAGUUUUGCUAAGGGAUCCAGACUUUCUAACUUUCCAUAUAAAGGGACUUGCCAUAUGCCGGGCAUUUGGCGCUACCCACUUGUUUCUUUCUCAAAGGGUUAGAUUCUUUGGGACAGUAUAGUAGACACUAUAUUGCUCCACCCAGACGUCCUUUUUAGGGCCAAUACACCCAUCCCCAGCUGCUGAUGGUUCACAAGGAAGGUCCUCAGCCAGCUGCAGGACACAGCCUCACCCAAAGUGAUACCCCCAGAAGGGGUGGCCAGUUGCCAGGAAUUAGCUGAUGUAGGCAAACAAAAGUCCAGCCCCUUGCUCAAAUGGGGACAGCUCUGAAGAACCAUCCAGCGCUCCCCAUAGAAGUGGCUGGGGUCUCAGACGCAACCACAUUUGCCAGUCAGCUUCUCCUCUGCCCAAUCUUGCCUUGUUCCUUCCUUACAGGUGUCUCCUGAGAGCUCACCCCCAAAAUCCUUCAGCACCCCACUCCUGGUCUCAGAGUCUGCUUCUAGGGAACCUAAUUUAAGACCAGCAGCAGUUUUCUAAGAUAACUAAUGCAGAGCAUUAUUUUUCUAAUUGUACGAGGAAGUCACAGGCUCCUUCAGAGGCCCUACAAAGGCUGAUAACCGUCUUUGAAAAAUACUCGUCAUACAGCCACUCAGUUUAAAAACUACACAUUUUUGAUAUUCAGCUCAGAUCACUUUCUGAACACCAACCCAGUCAACAGGGACAGGAGUUAAUGCACAGGAAUACAGCAAGUUCACAAGUAAAGGCGGCGAGACCUAGCAAAGGUAGUGAUUUGCUUGUCCCAACAUCAUGUGGCAUUGAAAACUGCCACCAGAGCAAAGGAGGCCACAUCUGGGGUUCCCAACCUUAACCAUCAGAGUAUGGCUGCCCACAAAAGACAUAUUUACUUUAUAACCUCAAAUCCUAGCAAAUCUUCAUUCUAAAGCUACCCGGCAAGAACAGUUCCACCUAAGUAUGAAACUGAGAUCCUGUCUCAAAAAACAAAACAAAACAAAACAAACAACAACAACAACAAAAACAACAUUGUAUAAUAAAAAGAUGAAGAGUAAAUUCAUGCUAAAAACUUC
Molecule: long non-coding RNA, 2736 nt
Filed under: Homo sapiens (human)
Lineage: Eukaryota; Metazoa; Chordata; Mammalia; Primates; Hominidae
Description: non-protein coding lnc-MANSC4-4:2
Source: RNAcentral